UCAAAGGCCAACUAAAGAAAAUAAAAAAGCCCAUGUGUUAUAAGCACCAAGAACCUAAAAGAAAUCCUUCACUUGUAAAUUAUAGGGGCUCCGUUAUCCAUGAUGCAAACAAUCAGAUCAACAAGUACCAACAAAGUCAUAGAACCGUUAAAGAUGUGGAAUUUCAAAAUCAAAGAAGCACGCACAAGCAAGCAAUUUAUGCAAUAGCAUCAGAUUCAUUUUGUUCAUCAUGAUCCAACCAAAUUCCCAACGCAGGUUAUGUAUAAAAACAAAUUGUAAUUAAGUGGCUCGGUGCCUG
This 298-nucleotide long non-coding RNA is filed under the name Elaeis guineensis (African oil palm). RNAcentral describes it as "long non-coding RNA (EGUI_LNC006162)". Lineage: Eukaryota; Viridiplantae; Streptophyta; Magnoliopsida; Arecales; Arecaceae. The record is from RNAcentral.